AGUAGUGGCAUUAUUUAUGCUUGUACAAGAUUGGUGUUGAAGUUAUGUUGAGACAACGAUGAUUGUAGUUGUGGGUUGAGGUACACUGUGGUCGAACUUGAGUUAGCUAAAUCUGGAUAUAGCUGAAGUGUGAACGUGUUUGUGCAUCAUUGUUUGUUUGAAUUGUUGCUUUGGGUGGAUAAUGAAUUGAUAAUGAAAAUUUCAAAGACAACAUUAAGGGG
Molecule: long non-coding RNA, 221 nt
Filed under: Malus domestica (apple)
Lineage: Eukaryota; Viridiplantae; Streptophyta; Magnoliopsida; Rosales; Rosaceae
Description: long non-coding RNA (MDOM_LNC017358)
Source: RNAcentral